RNAcentral lists this ribosomal RNA (424 nucleotides) under uncultured prokaryote. RNAcentral's name for it is "bacterial SSU rRNA". It matches the Rfam family "Bacterial small subunit ribosomal RNA", at positions 355 to 796 of the family's 1533-position model. The record is from RNAcentral.
UGGGGAAUAUUGGACAAUGGGCGCAAGCCUGAUCCAGCCAUGCCGCGUGAGUGAAGAAGGCCCUAGGGUUGUAAAGCUCUUUCAGUGGGGAGGAUAAUGACGUUACCCACAGAAGAAGCCCCGGCUAACUCCGUGCCAGCAGCCGCGGUAAUACGGAGGGGGCUAGCGUUGUUCGGAAUCACUGGGCGUAAAGCGCACGUAGGCUGACAGUUAAGUCGGGGGUGAAAGCCCGGAGCUCAACUCCGGAACUGCCUUCGAUACUGGCUGUCUUGAGUCCGGGAGAGGUGAGCGGAAUUCCGAGUGUAGAGGUGAAAUUCGUAGAUAUUCGGAAGAACACCAGUGGCGAAGGCGGCUCACUGGCCCGGUACUGACGCUGAGGUGCGAAAGCGUGGGGAGCAAACAGGAUUAGAUACCCCCGUAGUCC